UCCACAACCCAUGUUAAUAUAUUAGUAGUAGACCAAAUAUGUAGAUAGAUAUGUCACUAUAUGUAUAGAUGUCCAUUUUCACUUGUCACUUUAACUCAUUUCGUACUUCAUAAUUUAUAUGACCAAAUAUGUAUAUAUGCUGACAGUUAUUUUACUCUUAUUUUUACUCAUCUCCUAUUUCAGAGUCUUG
This is a long non-coding RNA of Notothenia coriiceps (black rockcod), 190 nucleotides long. RefSeq lists it as uncharacterized. The transcript has 3 exons. The record is from RefSeq and is a predicted model, not a curated record. NCBI's taxonomy places the organism in Eukaryota, Metazoa, Chordata, Actinopteri, Perciformes, Nototheniidae.